This 544-nucleotide ribosomal RNA is filed under the name uncultured bacterium. RNAcentral's name for it is "bacterial SSU rRNA". It matches the Rfam family "Archaeal small subunit ribosomal RNA", at positions 728 to 1267 of the family's 1478-position model. The record is from RNAcentral.
AAUAGAUACCCUGGUAGUCCCAGCCGUAAACGAUGCUCGCUAGGUGUCAGGCAUGGCGCGACCGUGUCUGGUGCCGCAGGGAAGCCGUGAAGCGAGCCACCUGGGAAGUACGGCCGCAAGGCUGAAACUUAAAGGAAUUGGCGGGGGGAGCACAACAACGGGUGGAGCCUGCGGUUUAAUUGGACUCAACGCCGGACAACUCACCGGGGGGCGACAGCAAUAUGUAGGCCAAGCUGAAGACUUUGCCUGAAUCGCUGAGAGGAGGUGCAUGGCCGUCGCCAGUUCGUACUGUGAAGCAUCCUGUUAAGUCAGGCAACGAGCGAGACCCGUGCCCACUGUUACCAGCAUGUCCUCCGGGACGAUGGGUACUCUGUGGGGACCGCCGAUGUUAAAUCGGAGGAAGGUGCGGGCCACGGUAGGUCAGUAUGCCCCGAAUCUCCCGGGCUACACGCGGGCUACAAUGGAUGGGACAAUGGGUCCCUCCCCGUGAAACGGGCGUGGUAAUCUCACAAACCCAUUCGUAGUUCGGAUCGAGGGCUGUAAC